GAGAAACCCAGGGAUACUGGUGUGUAUUCUCUGCCUAGCAACGUGUGCCGGGGCAAAACCAUACUUGAAAAAUGGAGGAGAUUAUAUACAGGACAAAAAGGUAAUAUCAAAUUACGAGAUGUUUCUCAAGAAAGCUUCGGAGGAAACGGGUAUUCAACAAAGCCACUGGAAUAUGCCUUUUAUACAAGAAUGGUUUUAUGACAUGUUUACAUCGAAAAACAAACAUGUUCAACCGACAGACGAGUCGCUUUCUUUUGUUUCGUCGGAUAUUCUCUGCGCCUACUACCAAUCUAUAGGUGACUGCGCAUCCGUUGCAAUAUAUUGCGUAAACACGGACUGUCUCUGAGAGUUUUUAAAGCUUAACAAAAAUCAAAGAUUCGUAUUGAUCGUCUUUGCCAAUUUAUGUACAUGAAUUUAAACAAACCAACCAGUCGUAAACGUUUUUAUUUUCCUGAGUUGUUAUAUAAUCUUAACCUCUUUCAACGAGUUUUCUACUGAGUUUUAUUAUGCAUCUGCUUUAGCAAGAUCAGGUAUAAUGAUUGCCUACAUUUUAGAAUGUUCAAUAAAGGCAAUAACAAUAAAGUAUUUCCCAAAUUGUUACAUGUUAUAAUCAAAUAACCAAUGAAAGUGAAUUAAAUUAGUAACAAUAUGCAAACAGUGCUUCAUUGUAAACUAAAACUAGUUUUAGUUAAUUCUCAAUGUGAAAUUUCCAUUAUUGCAAUGCAACGAUGUAUAUUAUAUUGGAUAUAUACCUGUUUGUUAUUUACCUCAAUCAAUGCUCAUAUUUGAUAUACUAGAAUUUGAAAUAAA
Long non-coding RNA from Mya arenaria, 810 nucleotides. RefSeq lists it as uncharacterized. The record is from RefSeq and is a predicted model, not a curated record. The transcript is spliced from 3 exons. Lineage: Eukaryota; Metazoa; Mollusca; Bivalvia; Myida; Myidae.